RNAcentral lists this ribosomal RNA (531 nucleotides) under uncultured fungus. RNAcentral describes it as "eukaryotic LSU rRNA". The stretch from base 192 to 345 matches the Rfam family "5.8S ribosomal RNA". Lineage: Eukaryota; Fungi. The record is from RNAcentral.
AAGUCGUAACAAGGUCUCCGUAGGUGAACCUGCGGAGGGAUCAUUACUGAGUGAGGGCCCCUGGCCCGACCUCCAACCCUUUGUGAUUAAUACUUGUUGCCUCGGGGGCGACUCGAUCCUGUCGGGGCCCCCGACGGACCACAACCAAACUCUGCAUCUUUGCGUCGGGUUUGAUAAAGAAAAUUGUUUAAAACUUUCAACAACGGAUCUCUUGGUUCUGGCAUCGAUGAAGAACGCAGCGAAAUGCGAUAAGUAAUGUGAAUUGCAGAAUUCAGUGAAUCAUCGAGUUUUUGAACGCACACUGCGCCCCUUGGUAUUCCGGGGGGCAUGCCCGUUCGAGCGUCAUUUCACCAAUCAAGCCUGGCUUGGUCUUGGGCUACGGGCAUCAACCCGGGCCCCAAAAUCUCCGGCUGGAAAGCUCUGAUCUCAGCGUCGUGGUUAUUCAAACUCGCUGGCGAGAGGGGCGGUCUGCGCCGUUAAAAUCUAUCUUAGGUUGACCUCGGAUCGGGUAGGAAUACCCGCUGAACUUAA